This 496-nucleotide ribosomal RNA is filed under the name uncultured bacterium. RNAcentral describes it as "SSU rRNA". It matches the Rfam family "Bacterial small subunit ribosomal RNA", at positions 26 to 521 of the family's 1533-position model. The record is from RNAcentral.
AGGACGAACGCUGGCGGCGUGCUUAACACAUGCAAGUGGAGCGACGAACCAGGGCUUGCCCUGGGGCAGAGCCGCGAACGGGUGAGUAACACGUGGGUUACCUGCCUUGAUGACCGGGACAACCCGAGGAAAACUCGGGCUAAUACCGGAUGUGCCCGCAAGGGAAAAGGAAGCUUCGGCCUCCGCAUCAAGAUGGGCCCGCGGCCCAUUAGCUAGUUGGUGAGGUAACGGCUCACCAAGGCUUCGAUGGGUAGCUGGUCUGAGAGGACGAUCAGCCACACUGGGACUGAGACACGGCCCAGACUCCUACGGGAGGCAGCAGUGGGGAAUCUUGCGCAAUGCGCGAAAGCGUGACGCAGCAACGCCGCGUGGGGGAAGAAGGCUUUCGGGUUGUAAACCCCUUUCACGUUGGACGAAGCUUCUUCGGUGAAUAGCCGAAUGGAGUGACGGUACCUUCACAAGAAGCACCGGCUAACUACGCGCCAGCAGCCGCGGU